This 165-nucleotide small RNA is filed under the name Eubacterium uniforme. RNAcentral's name for it is "Clostridiales-1 RNA". It matches the Rfam family "Clostridiales-1 RNA". The record is from Rfam by way of RNAcentral. Lineage: Bacteria; Bacillati; Bacillota; Clostridia; Eubacteriales; Eubacteriaceae.
AGUGAUUAGUAUUUUCAAAGUCACAAGCUCUCUUGCUUGCAAGAAAGAGAUUGGGACCUUGAAAAUUAAACAUAAAUGAGGAAGUAGCGAUGCGAAGCAUCAGCGGAAUCCGAAUUUAUGUAGGAUUGUGUGAGUUGCGAAGCAACGUAACAAUCCGUAAUCACU